RNAcentral lists this ribosomal RNA (513 nucleotides) under uncultured bacterium. RNAcentral describes it as "partial 16S ribosomal RNA". It matches the Rfam family "Bacterial small subunit ribosomal RNA", at positions 28 to 523 of the family's 1533-position model. The record is from RNAcentral.
GACGAACGCUGGCGGCAUGCCUAAUACAUGCAAGUCGAGCGAACGGAUGAAGUGCUUGCACUUCUGACGUUAGCGGCGAACGGGUGAGUAACACGUAAGGAAUCUACCUAUAAGCGGGGGAUAACAUUCGGAAACGGGUGCUAAUACCGCAUAAUAUCUUCUUCCGCAUGGAAGAAGAUUGAAAGACGGCUCUGCUGUCACUUAUAGAUGACCUUGCGGUGCAUUAGUUAGUUGGUGGGGUAACGGCCUACCAAGACGAUGAUGCAUAGCCGACCUGAGAUGGUGAUCGGCCACAUUGGGACUGAGACACGGCCCAAACUCCUACGGGAGGCAGCAGUAGGGAAUCUUCCGCAAUGGGCGAAAGCCUGACGGAGCAAUGCCGCGUGAGUGAAGAAGGCCUUCGGGUCGUAAAACUCUGUUAUAAGAGAAGAACAAAUUGUAGAGUAACUGCUACAGUCUUGACGGUAUCUUAUCAGAAAGCCACGGCUAACUACGUGCCAGCAGCCGCGGUAA